GUUAUACGUANGGGGCNAGNUUUUNCNGANUUNNUGGUNUNAAGGGAGCNCAGNGGCNCUNUNAGUUGGGAGNNAAACCCNGGGGUCAACCCCGGGACUGNUCCCAAACUAUNGUGCUUGAGUAUGGAGAGGUAGGCGGAAUUCCUAGUGUAGCGGUGAAAUGCUUAGAUAUUAGGAAGAACACCGGUGGCGAAGGCGGCCUACUGGACCAAAACUGACACUGAGGCUCGAAAGCGUGGGUAGCAAACAGGAUUAGAUACCCUGGUAGUCCACGCUGUAAACGAUGAAUACUAGGUGCUGGGAGCCAUAAGGCUUUCGGUGCCGUCGCAAACGCAUUAAGUAUUCCACCUGGGGUGUACGUUCGCAAGAAUGAAACUCAAAGGAAUUGACGGGGACCCGCACAAGCGGUGGAGCAUGUGGUUUAAUUCG
This 429-nucleotide ribosomal RNA is filed under the name uncultured bacterium. RNAcentral's name for it is "partial 16S ribosomal RNA". It matches the Rfam family "Bacterial small subunit ribosomal RNA", at positions 520 to 953 of the family's 1533-position model. The record is from RNAcentral.